RNAcentral lists this transfer RNA (74 nucleotides) under Terriglobia bacterium. Its description in RNAcentral is "tRNA-Cys". It matches the Rfam family "tRNA". Rfam says of the family: Transfer RNA (tRNA) molecules are approximately 80 nucleotides in length. Their secondary structure includes four short double-helical elements and three loops (D, anti-codon, and T loops). Lineage: Bacteria; Pseudomonadati; Acidobacteriota; Terriglobia. The record is from RNAcentral.
GGCGCGGUAGCCAAGUGGGAAGGUGAGGGCCGGCAAAGCCCAAUUCGGUGGUUCGAUUCCACCCCGCGCCUCCA